AUAAGAUCUCUUCAAGAGUCAAUGAAGGCAUUACAGAAGCAAUUAGAAAAAGAACGCUUGCAGUUAACUGCUGAGCGUGAAGCACUAGGGAGAGAGAGAG
Molecule: long non-coding RNA, 100 nt
Organism: Chiroxiphia lanceolata (lance-tailed manakin)
Lineage: Eukaryota; Metazoa; Chordata; Aves; Passeriformes; Pipridae
Exons: 3
Source: RefSeq, a predicted model, not a curated record